UACGAAGGGUGCAAGCGUUACUCAGAAUUACUGGGCGUAAAGGGUGCGUAGGUGGUUGUUUAAGUCUGCUGUGAAAGCCCCGGGCUCAACCUGGGAAUGGCAGUGGAUACUGGACAGCUAGAGUGCGGUAGAGGGUAGUGGAAUUCCCGGUGUAGCAGUGAAAUGCGUAGAGAUCGGGAGGAACACCAGUGGCGAAGGCGGCUACCUGGACCAGCACUGACACUGAAGCACGAAAGCGUGGGGAGCAAACAGG
This 253-nucleotide ribosomal RNA is filed under the name uncultured bacterium. RNAcentral's name for it is "partial 16S ribosomal RNA". It matches the Rfam family "Bacterial small subunit ribosomal RNA", at positions 524 to 776 of the family's 1533-position model. The record is from RNAcentral.